GGCGGAAGGGUGAGUAACACGUGGGUAACCUGCCUGUAAGACUGGGAUAACUCCGGGAAACCGGAGCUAAUACCGGAUCGUUCCUUGAACCGCAUCGUUCAAGGAUGAAAGACGGUUUCGGCUGUCACUUACAGAUGGACCCGCGGCGCAAUAGCUACUUGCUGAGGUAACGGCUCACCAAGGCGACGAUGCGUAGCCGACCUGAGAGGGUGAUCGGCCACCCUGGGACUGAGACACGGCCCAGACUCCUACGGGAGGCAGUAGUAGGGAAUCUUCCGCAAUGGACGAAAGUCUGACGGAGCAACGCCGCGUGAGUGAUGAAGGUUUUCGGAUCGUAAAGCUCUGUUGUUAGGGAAGAACAAGUGCAAGAGUAACUGCUUGCACCAUGACGGUACCUAACCAGAAAGCUACGGCUAACUACGUGCCAGCAGCCGCGGUAAUACGUAGGUGGCAAGCGUUGUCCGAAAUUAUUGGGCGUAAAGGGCUCGCAGGCGGUUUCUUAAGUCUGAUGUGAAAGCCCCCGGCUCUACAGGGGAGGGUCAUUGGAAACUGGGAAACUUGAGUGCAGAAGAGGAGAGUGGAAUACCACGUGUCGCGGUGAAAUGCGUUGAGAUGUGGAGGAACACAAGUGGCGAAGGCGACUCU
RNAcentral lists this ribosomal RNA (645 nucleotides) under uncultured bacterium. RNAcentral describes it as "bacterial SSU rRNA". It matches the Rfam family "Bacterial small subunit ribosomal RNA", at positions 97 to 728 of the family's 1533-position model. The record is from RNAcentral.